CUCCACCCAGACUCAUCCAUUUCGUAUCUAUAGAGAGUUUCUGUUGGUGCCGCUAUUGCUUCAUAAGUACCCGUACCGUAAACCGACACAGGUGGAUGAGGAGAGAAUCCUAAGGCCGGCGGGAGAAGUGUUGUUAAGGAACUCGGCAAAAUGACUCCGUAACUUCGGGAGAAGGAGUGCCACAGAGAUGUGGCCGCAGAGAAAUGGCCCAAGCAACUGUUUAGCAAAAACACAGGUCUAUGCAAAACCGAAAGGUGAGGUAUAUGGGCUGACGCCUGCCCGGUGCUGGAAGGUUAAGAGGAGAGGUUAGAGCAAUCGAAGCUUUGAAUUUAAGCCCCAGUAAACGGCGGCCGUAACGAUAACGGUCCUAAGGUAGCGAAAUUCCUUGUCGGGUAAGUUCCGACCCGCACGAAAGGCGUAAUGAUUUGGGCACUGUCUCAACAACACACCCGGUGAAAUUGAAAUACCAGUGAAGAUGCUGGUUACCUGCGCCAGGACGGAAAGACCCCAUGGAGCUUUACUCCAGUUUGAUACUGGGAUUCGGUACUGUCUGUACAGGAUAGGUGGGAGGCUAGGAAAUGGUGACGCCAGUUGCCAUGGAGCCAACCUUGGGAUACCACCCUUACAGUACUGGGUUUCUAACCUGCAGCCGUAACCCGGCUGGGGGACAAUGUCUGACGGGGAGUUUGACUGGGGCGGUCGCCUCCGAAAGAGUAUCGGAGGCGCUCAAAGGUUCCCUCAGAACGGUUGGAAACCGUUCGAAGAGUGCAAAGGCAGAAGGGAGCUUGACUGCGACACCGACGGGUGGAGCAGAUACGAAAGUAGGACUUAGUGAUCCGGUGGUAUAAAGUGGGAUUGCCAUCGCUCAACGGAUAAAAGCUACCCUGGGAUAACAGGCUUAUCACUCCCAAGAGUUCACAUCGACGGAGUGGUUUGGCACCUCGAUGUCGGCUCAUCGCAUCCUGGAGCUGUAGCAGGUUCCAAGGGUUGGGCUGUUCGCCCAUUAAAGCGGUACGCGAGCUGGGUUCAGAACGUCGUGAGACAGUUCGGUCCCUAUCCGGCGUGGGCGUAGGAUAUUUGAGAGGAGCUGUCCUUAGUACGAGAGGACCGGGAUGGACAAACCUCUGGUGUAUCUGUUGUUUUACCAAAGGCAUGGCAGAGUAGCCAAGUUUGGCAGGGAUAAACGCUGAAGGCAUCUAAGCGUGAAGCCCCCCUCAAGAUAAGAUAUCCCAUCUUCGGAGUAAGACCCCUUGAAGACUACAAGGUUGAUAGGCUUUGUGUGUAAGUGCGGUAACGCACUCAGCUGAGAAGUACUAAUAGGUCGAGGACUUAUC
RNAcentral lists this ribosomal RNA (1334 nucleotides) under metagenome. RNAcentral describes it as "bacterial LSU rRNA". It matches the Rfam family "Bacterial large subunit ribosomal RNA", at positions 1567 to 2925 of the family's 2925-position model. The record is from RNAcentral.